This 119-nucleotide ribosomal RNA is filed under the name Carlito syrichta (Philippine tarsier). Lineage: Eukaryota; Metazoa; Chordata; Mammalia; Primates; Tarsiidae. The record is from RNAcentral.
GUCUACAGCCGUACCACCCUGAAUGUGCCCGAUCUCAUCUGAUCUCGGAAGCUCAGCAGGUUUGGGCCUGGUUAGUACUUGGAUGGGAGACCACCUGGGAAUACCGGGUGCUGUAGGCU